GACGAACGCUGGCGGCGUGCCUAAUACAUGCAAGUUGAGCGAUGAAGAUUGGUGCUUGCCCCAAUUUGAAGAGCAGCGAACGGGUGAGUAACGCGUGGGUAAUCUGCCUUUGAGCGGGGGACAACAUUUGGAAACGAAUGCUAAUACCGCAUAACAACUUUAAACAUAAGUUUUAAGUUUGAAAGAUGCAAUUGCAUCACUCAAAGAUGAUCCCGCGUUGUAUUAGCUAGUUGGUGAGGUAAAGGCUCACCAAGGCGAUGAUACAUAGCCGACCUGAGAGGGUGAUCGGCCACAUUGGGACUGAGACACGGCCCAAACUCCUACGGGAGGCAGCAGUAGGGAAUCUUCGGCAAUGGACGAAAGUCUGACCGAGCAACGCCGCGGGAGUGAAGAAGGUUGUCGGAUCGGAAAACUCUGUUGGUAGAGAAGAACGUUGGUGAGAGUGGAAAGCUCAUCAAGUGACGGUAACUACACAGAAAGGGACGGCUAACUACGUG
This 497-nucleotide ribosomal RNA is filed under the name uncultured bacterium. RNAcentral's name for it is "partial 16S ribosomal RNA". It matches the Rfam family "Bacterial small subunit ribosomal RNA", at positions 28 to 507 of the family's 1533-position model. The record is from RNAcentral.